AUUGGAACUCUUUUUAAAUAAUUUUUAUUAAAAUAAUAUUAACUGCAGAAAAACCUCUGUUAAGCUGCUCCCCGUGAAUCUUCAGCUCACUCUCCACCACAGUGGCCACAGAACUGCAGGCGUGUUGUUUCUGGUACGCUCGCCAAUCGGAGAAAAUGUCGUUUCUCGGCGGAUUUCAUGACCGUCGUCCAUAUCUUCUUAUCUUGUCUCAAUCAACUCAAUUCACCAACCCGCACUAUUUCUUCCUCAUUUACGCGAGUUACCGGGGCCGGUGGAUGUGUACUCGCACCGAGUCGUCUCCGUCGGAUUUUGCCGGCAUAAACGCCUACGGCCUCUUGGAAGUCUCGGAAACCAGCUCCUUCGCCGAGAUCAAGGCUGCGUUUCGAAAACUCGCCAAAAAAACUCACCCGGAUCUUGCCGAGUCCGAGAACGAUCCUGCUGCUUCGCGACGAUUCAUCCAAAUUCUUGCAGCUUAUGAGAUUCUUUCAGAUUCUGAGAAGCGGGCUCAUUACGAUAGAUAUCUUUUAUCCCAGCGAAUGCUUUUGCAGAAACACUCUAGGCAAGGUUCGCCAUAUUAUUAUGCAGAUAAAUCCCAUAUGACAACUGCAAAGCAAAUGGAAGUUGUUGAAUGGUUAAAGUGGUACAGGUUUGCUAUAAAUGAAAUACUGUCAGAGAAGCAUGUGGUGUCUGGGUCAGGCUAUUUUGAUAUUCUUGAAGGGGAAUUUUAUUCAGCCAUACAUGCCGCCUACUAUGGCCCUCAUAUUGAGUCCAUGGACCUUCUCCCUGACUGUUUUGAAGCUGAGGAGCGUUCUGUUUAUGGGACUCCUGAGGUUCUGCACUUGGUUUCCGGGCGUUAUCUUUUUGGAAUGGUGUGCAUUGCCAAUAAUAAUCCGAAAUUAUCGCAUGUCUGCAAUGAGAAACUGAAUUCUUUUGCAUCUAUGGGUUCAGACAUGUGCCAAUCCAUUGAGAAUUUGAGCAUCUACAUUAAUUCUGAUGCUUUCAAUGAUGGAGAAAUUCCUCAGGUGCAAAGGGAAAGUGCUAUAUAUCACACAUCAGAUGCAUAUAAAGAUCUAGAAUUGCAUGUAUGUGGAAAAGUGGUCGCUAUGGCUACUAGAAUCCCUCCCAGAAGUUGUUGUGGUGGGAUAAAGAAUGAAGAUUCUCAAGAUCACAUACAUGUGUUUCUCAGGUCACAUGAAGAUCCAAUGUCUGUUAGUAAUGUUUUUUAUCGGGAUUCCUUUUUGGAUGGUGCUGGACAACAGAUUCUAUUGGGAACAAUAACCGGAUUGGGAACCACCCCAGAAGAAGGGUCCUGCUUUGUCUACAAUAACAGUGGUACAAAAACCCAUGUGAUUAUGAAACAUAGAACACUGCUGGUGAAACACAUGCAUUGGUAUCAAGUGGGAGAUAGAGUUUCAACUUGUGAAUGUCGAUGUAGUAGAGCAAAGUUGCCCCCUAGCAAAUUUUGGCUGUUUGAGCCUCGCUGUGGUAUGCAUGAUAUUGGUGGUUGGUAUGUAGAAACUUUUGGCAGAGAUAAGAAAGGAUGGACAAUCCCAUCUCGAAGGUAUUGGGAUGGCUUCGAUCCAAAUGAAGAACCAGAAAAGAGACUCCAUCCAGCAAUAUAUUUGCUGACUCUUGCAUAUAGAACUUUAGAUCGGGAAGAAGCAAAAAGAAAGAGACGAAAUCUUAAGGAUUUUGUUGAAGGAAAACUAGUUAGACUUCUUACUUGGUGCAAGAAACUUGUAUAGGGAGGUUACCCUACCACUCUUUGAGGCUAUAUGAAUGCUUCCAGACAGCAUUGUUGACGCUGCUUGUCAGAGGGUCGUAACUCGUAAGAGAUGAGAGCUAAGUGCGGCUGGAUCUGUUAUAUUAUAUCAUGCCACAAGGAUUUCUCAUUCUCUUGGGACACAUCAGGGCUGUGGUUAAUGCCAGGAGGCCUAUUGAUGGUCUAUUGGUAGUACAAGAGAUCUCCCAUGCAGAGUCAAGAAAAAGAAAAUAUAUGGUGUUGCCUGCCAAUUGCAUUGAUCCAGUUGCCACAGUUGACAUUAACUAUGUCAGUAAAGGUAAUGCUACGGUGCUUUAUAUCGUCAUGCAUUAAAACACUUCUAUCUUCUAGGAAGUUCAUCAAAUUGGUAGCUUUAACUGUCUUGGCUUGAUUUUAUUUUAUUUCAUUUUUUUUAAUUUAUUGAUUAUUCCGAUGUUGCAUUUUCCUUUCAUGUGCCUAUACCUUUGUUUAAAAGUAAUUUUGUGGUGUAGAUUUUCUACUUUAUUUAUAAAAAUUAGUAGGCCCUUGUUUUUUUUUUUUUUUGUUUUGUGUUUUUUUUUCAAUGUUUUUUGCUUCAUAUGCUUUGCAACCAGGUUUGAUUGUACAAAUGAGUUGCCUUUUAGAUGUGGGAUCAACACAUGCUCUUGUUUCUGCCUAUAUUUAAUUAAAUUUUUUUGUGUAUAAUGAUGUUCCUUUAUUCCAUAUUUGUGAUUGUUAUAUGCAUUGUGAUCCAUACUAGUUUUCAACAGUUUGUCUCUACUGGAUGGCAAUGGUAAAACAUUUCCAGCACAAUAGGACUAAAAGUUUGAAGCUUUUUCAAUUUUAAAAAUUUUAAAAUUUCACUAUAAACACAAUUACUAGGACCUAUUCCAACUUUUUGGUUUUAUCUAGAGGAAAAAGUGACAGAAAUUAUACCAACAGUUUGUCUCUAAUAGAUGACAUUUUUUAGCACAAUAGAACUUGAAAAGGUUUUACACUUUUUUAAUUUAAAAAUAUUUUUUAAAAAUUUAUUAUAAACACUCAUCAGUACCUAUUCCAACUCUUUGGUUCCCUUGGAUGAAAAUUUUUGUUUUUUCCAUUUAGAACACUUAGAUCUUUAUGAAUCAUAAAGAACGAAAACUUUUAAAGAAACUUAAAUCAAUCUAGAUUCAAAAUUUUCAGUUCUUAAUAUUUUUAGUACUUUAUUCUAGUUUUAAAUCCCUUCAAUGAACAAUCAUCCCUGUUUCAGUUUUCCAAAAACAAGUAACAAGAGAGUAACUGCACAUCCUAAGAUGAACUCGUAUCCAUCCUCUGACAAACAAGACGAGGAAGUGGAUAUAUAAAAUGAAUUCUAACCUUGGGAGGCUUUACCCACAUUUGCCCAUCAUACCAUCCACUUUCUUCAUAAGGUAUCACUGCUGAUAAAAGUCUAUCACCAACAUAACUCCAUCCCUGCAUUAUGCAUAUGGUUUACAUAAAGGAACAGGUUUAGUAAGACAAACAAGGAUUAUGAGUAAAAACACCGUAACGAUGCAACUCCAUUGCAUGGUUAUGCAUUUUAGAGUCAUGUAGGUUUAUCUAAGUAAAUAUAAUUCGGAAUAGUAGGAGGUUACAGAUGAUUGAGCAUGGCAGCAACAAAAGAUAGAGGUUGGACCCAACCAGUUGAAAUGACUUUUUAAAUAGUUAUGCGGAUGGAGAAAAAUAACUUUGGUACUUCGUGGUAAAGUACUUAGUCUGACAUAUGCGUAUGAUGUCAGGAUUUGUAAACCAUAAUAAUUCUUUAUUGUUUGGCUAAAUCUUUGUGGUAUGCUUUGUGCAAGCGGUGAUAGUGAUACUUGACCCAAUGGCAAGGGUGUCACAUGCAAAUCUGAAAGUGGUAGGUUCAAGUCAUAGAAUAGGUUUCUUCCAAAUGUGGGGGUAAGGCUGCAAUGUCAUGUCCUCCCCAGACUCUGGUAUGGCGUGGGAGACCCAUGAACUUUUGAUGUUGCAUUUAUUUUGUUUGGCUAAAUCUGCUUGUUCAGGAAAAGCUACAUUCUCUUCAUCUUCCCCAGAUGGUAUCAUGUCUGUGUUUCUUGCAGAAGGUUACACUUAUGCUUAUGAAUUCUUUUGUUGAUUGAGCUUUGUAGUAGACAUGAACUACAAAGUAAUCAAACAAGAAAAGAAAAAGGCUGGGGGGCGGGGCGGGGGGCGCUUAUGAAUUCAUAUUGUGAUCUUAUGUUAUUGCAGUUUUGAGUUAUAUCAAGAACAAUGCAAUUGUUGAAAAUUCCCUCAUUAUUAAAGUAUAGAUCCAAAUUAGAAAACUAGAAACGUCAUGCGUCUGCUUCCCAGGUAACCCAGCUCAGGAACUUUGCUUGAUGCUAGAGUACUCGUUGUGAACUUAUCAUUGGUACAUGCAACUAGCAAGAGAAUAAUACAUAACUUGAAAUGGUGAAUAGAUGCAGAUUUAAGACAUUUCCUGUAUAUUCUAUCAUUAAAAGCGAUUAGGCCUUCCUAUGAUUUGUUAUGUAAAUAAUUGUAUGGGGUUGGGUUAAAUUAUUUCUGGAAAGUUGAAUCUUCUUUAGUUCUUUGCAUGAAACACAGUUUUGCAGCCUGGUAAUGGAUGUAAAAUAAAUUAGUAGAUACCAUGUAAAUUCUCAAGAUAAUUAGUGACACUAGAAAAAGAGUUCCUGUCCCUGCAGCCAGGAAACAUCUGAGAGGAUCCUGCAAGGUUAGAAACAGAUGCGUUAGUCAAUGUAUAUGGUGUGCAAAAAUGCAUUUUGGCAAAUGAAUAUUCCAGAAGCUGUUAACAUCAAUCAUCUUGUGAAUAUGGUUCUUGAGGCAUUUUCUUCUGAAGAUCUGGAAUGUCAAAUUAUGGACUACUGCUCUAGCUAGUAAAAAUCUUUUCUAUUGGUCAUUUGCUUAAAACUUUUGUUGUUUUUAUCUUACCAUUGAAGGAUUAAAACUUGCAGCAGCAAUUGGCACUCCCAAGACUGUGAAAGCUGUCAACCAGAGGCCUCCAAGGCGGAGGAAAAAGUUUCCUGGAGUCAGUUCACCCCAUGAAUAUAAUGGUCCAUUUCUCAGGGAGGAGUACUCAUUCACCUGUUACAAAGCCAGAAUCACCAGUAUGGCAGAACCAGAGAAGUAGAUAAUCUGUAUGUUCAAACAUACCGGCCUUUGUUCGAAAGGAACCUCAAUUUCCUGUCCAGGGUCCCAGCUCCGUCCAAGAAAUCCGCCACUGCCCCCUUCUGUCUUGUCUUUCAAUGAAGCCUUGACGGCAACGGCACGAGGCACUCUCUGAGCUCCUUGAUGCCAAAUGACCCAUGAACCACAGCUGAUGCGUCCUGUCCUGAACUGCCUUGCGCUUGCAGCUAUAGAACAGUAUACAUUCAGCCUCAGCAUUUCUGCUAAUUGGUGCAGACAAGCUGAAUCCCUUUGUUCUUGUAAAAAAUACCUGUGUUCAGUUGUUAGGCGAGAGAAUAGGGGGGAAAGAAGAGCUUGGGAGCUCUUGCUUAAGAGACAUUUCUGUGGCACAGAACAACUCAUGCGCUCCACUCAUGCAACUUCUUUUGUUGCGUUGUUGAAAGGAUGGGAUUGUGUGGUCCGCGAGGGAUAUUUUCUUGCCACAGUGGGAGAUGAUUCACCAAUCAGGAGCUGCCAAUCCAUCGGUGGACCAUUAACGUGGACGCACAUGCAUGCCUUGCAAACCACUUUGCUUCAGCUCUGCCGUCCAUCAAAUGGCCCACCAGGUUAGUCUAACCAAAUGUUAUUUUUUCAGGCUUUUGUUUUUUUUUUUUUUUUUUUCAUUUCUACUUUUAAUUAAUUUUUGUGGUUUAGUGAAAAUAAGAUAGAGGCAUAGGUUACACAACGUGGCGUCUAGUUCCUUCCACGCUGUUUUGUGUGUAUUUCUUAUGCUUCCACGGGCUCUCAACACGAGAGGGAGAUGCCAGAUUAUCUGGACGGUAGCAUUUUUUGGUUUAAUUUUUGAAAUCUUGAUGCUGAAAAGUCUCAAGUUCCAUUAAGUGAUAUCAAUUAUAUAAAUUCUUUUUUGUCAAUU
Malania oleifera is the source of this 5774-nucleotide RNA transcript. RefSeq lists it as uncharacterized. The transcript is spliced from 9 exons. Lineage: Eukaryota; Viridiplantae; Streptophyta; Magnoliopsida; Santalales; Ximeniaceae. The record is from RefSeq and is a predicted model, not a curated record.